AUUGAACGCUGGCGGCAGGCCUAACACAUGCAAGUCGAGCGGAUGAAGGGAGCUUGCUCCCUGAUUUAGCGGCGGACGGGUGAGUAAUGCCUAGGAAUCUGCCUGGUAGUGGGGGAUAACGUUCCGAAAGGAACGCUAAUACCGCAUACGUCCUCGGGAGAAAGCAGGGGACCUUCGGGCCUUGCGCUAUCAGAUGAGCCUAGGUCGGAUUAGCUAGUCGGUGAGGUAAUGGCUCACCAAGGCGACGAUCCGUAACUGGUCUGAGAGGAUGAUCAGUCACACUGGAACUGAGACACGGUCCAGACUCCUACGGGAGGCAGCAGUGGGGAAUAUUGGACAAUGGGCGAAAGCCUGAUCCAGCCACGCCGCGUGUGUGAAGAAGGUCUUCGGAUUGUAAAGCACUUUAAGUUGGGAGGAAGGGCAGUAAGCUAAUACCUUGCUGUUUUGACGUUACCGACAGAAUAAGCACCGGCUAACUUCGUGCCAGCCGCCGCAGUAA
Molecule: ribosomal RNA, 499 nt
Filed under: uncultured bacterium
Lineage: Bacteria
Description: partial 16S ribosomal RNA
Rfam family: Bacterial small subunit ribosomal RNA
Source: RNAcentral